GUUAUAGGGUCAAGCGAAUAAGUGCAUGUGGUGGAUGCCUUGGCGAUCACAGGCGAUGAAGGACGUAGUAGCUUGCGAAAAGCUGCGGGGAGCUGGCAAACGAGCUUUGAUCCGCAGAUGUCCGAAUGGGGAAACCCGGCCCGUAUGGGUCAUCCCUUGCUGAAUACAUAGGCAAGGGAGGCGAACGCAGUGAACUGAAACAUCUAAGUAGCUGCAGGAAAAGAAAUCAACCGAGAUUCCAAAGUAGUGGCGAGCGAAAUGGGAACAGCCUUGUACUCUUUAGCAGUAUUGUUAGCGGAACGAAUGGAAAGUCCGGCCAUAGUGGGUGAUAGCCCCGUACGCGAAAACAGUAUUGUGGAACUAGGUGUACGACAAGUAGGGCGGGACACGUGAAAUCCUGUCUGAAGAUGGGGGGACCAUCCUCCAAGGCUAAAUACUCGUGAUCGACCGAUAGUGAACCAGUACCGUGAGGGAAAGGCGAAAAGAACCCCGGGAGGGGAGUGAAAUAGAUCCUGAAACCGCAUGCAUACAAACAGUCGGAGCCUGGAAACGGGUGACGGCGUACCUUUUGUAUAAUGGGUCAGCGACUUACAUUCAGUGGCAAGCUUAACCGAUUAGGGAAGGCGUAGCGAAAGCGAGUCCGAAUAGGGCGUUCAGUCGCUGGGUGUAGACCCGAAACCAAGUGAUCUAUCCAUGGCCAGGUUGAAGGUGCGGUAACACGUACUGGAGGACCGAACCCACUAACGUUGAAAAGUUAGGGGAUGAGCUGUGGAUAGGGGUGAAAGGCUAAACAAACUUGGAAAUAGCUGGUUCUCUCCGAAAACUAUUUAGGUAGUGCCUCGUGUCUCACCUUCGGGGGUAGAGCACUGUCAUGGUUGGGGGGUCUAUUGCUGAUUACCCCGCCAUAGCAAACUCCGAAUACCGAAGAGUGCAAUCACGGGAGACAGACAUCGGGUGCUAACGUCCGGUGUCAAGAGGGAAACACCCAGACCGCCAGCUAAGGUCCCUAAGAUUGGCUAAGUGGGAAACGAAGUGGGAAGGCUAAAACAGUCAGGAGGUUGGCUUAGAAGCAGCCACCCUUUAAAGAAAGCGUAAUAGCUCACUGAUCGAGUCGUCCUGCGCGGAAGAUGUAACGGGGCUAAGCCAGUCACCGAAGCUGCGGAUGCACGUAAGUGCAUGGUAGGAGAGCGUUCUGUAAGCCUGUGAAGGUGUCUUGUAAAGGAUGCUGGAGGUAUCAGAAGUGCGAAUGCUGACAUGAGUAGCGAUAAAGGGGGUGAAAGGCCCCCUCGCCGUAAGCCCAAGGUUUCCUACGCAACGUUCAUCGGCGUAGGGUGAGUCGGCCCCUAAGGCGAGGCAGAGAUGCGUAGCUGAUGGGAAGCAGGUUAAUAUUCCUGCACCGUCGUAUGAUGCGAUGGGGGGACGGAUCGCGGAAGGUUGUCCGGGUGUUGGAAGUCCCGGUCCCUACAUUGGAGAUGGCACUUAGGCAAAUCCGGGUGCGUGAUUCAAGGGUGUGGGGCGAGCGACGUUAGGUCGCGAAGCAAUUGGAAGUGGUUCCAAGAAAAGCCUCUAAGCUUCAGUCAUACGAGACCGUACCGCAAACCGACACAGGUGGGCGAGAUGAGUAUUCUAAGGCGCUUGAGAGAACUCGGGAGAAGGAACUCGGCAAAUUGGUACCGUAACUUCGGGAUAAGGUACGCCCUUGUAGUUUGACUGGCUCGCGCCAGAAGGAUGAAGGGGUUGCAAUAAAAUGGUGGCUGCGACUGUUUAAUAAAAACACAGCACUCUGCAAACACGAAAGUGGACGUAUAGGGUGUGACGCCUGCCCGGUGCCGGAAGAUUAAAUGAUGGGGUGCAAGCUCUUGAUUGAAGUCCCGGUAAACGGCGGCCGUAACUAUAACGGUCCUAAGGUAGCGAAAUUCCUUGUCGGGUAAGUUCCGACCUGCACGAAUGGCGUAACGAUGGCCACACUGUCUCCUCCCGAGACUCAGCGAAGUUGAAGUGUUUGUGAUGAUGCAAUCUCCCCGCGGCUAGACGGAAAGACCCCAUGAACCUUUACUGUAGCUUUGCAUUGGACUUUGAACCGAUCUGUGUAGGAUAGGUGGGAGGCUUUGAAACCGGGACGCUAGUUUCGGUGGAGCCGACCUUGAAAUACCACCCUGGUUUGUUUGAGGUUCUAACCUUGGCCCGUGAAUCCGGGUCGGGGACAGUGCAUGGUAGGCAGUUUGACUGGGGCGGUCUCCUCCCAAAGUGUAACGGAGGAGUUCGAAGGUACGCUUGGUACGGUCGGACAUCGUACCUAAAGUGCAAUGGCAAAAGCGUGCUUAACUGCGAGACCGACAAGUCGAGCAGGUGCGAAAGCAGGACAUAGUGAUCCGGUGGUUCUGUAUGGAAGGGCCAUCGCUCAACGGAUAAAAGGUACUCUGGGGAUAACAGGCUGAUACCGCCCAAGAGUUCAUAUCGACGGCGGUGUUUGGCACCUCGAUGUCGGCUCAUCUCAUCCUGGGGCUGUAGCCGGUCCCAAGGGUAUGGCUGUUCGCCAUUUAAAGAGGUACGUGAGCUGGGUUUAAAACGUCGUGAGACAGUUUGGUCCCUAUCUGCCGUGGGCGUUGGAAUCUUGACGGGGGCUGCUCCUAGUACGAGAGGACCGGAGUGGACGUACCGCUGGUGUACCUGUUGUCUCGCCAGAGGCAUCGCAGGGUAGCUAUGUACGGAAGAGAUAACCGCUGAAAGCAUCUAAGCGGGAAACUCGCCUGAAGAUGAGGAUUCCCUGGAGACUUGAUCUCCCUGAAGGGUCGUUCGAGACCAGGACGUUGAUAGGCUGGGUGUGGAAGCGCAGUAAUGCGUUCAGCUAACCAGUACUAAUUGCCCGUGCGGCUUGAUCCUAUAACC
RNAcentral lists this ribosomal RNA (2889 nucleotides) under Ralstonia solanacearum. RNAcentral describes it as "23S ribosomal RNA". It matches the Rfam family "Bacterial large subunit ribosomal RNA". Lineage: Bacteria; Pseudomonadati; Pseudomonadota; Betaproteobacteria; Burkholderiales; Burkholderiaceae. The record is from RNAcentral.